This is a non-coding RNA of Marasmius sp. AFHP31, 93 nucleotides long. NCBI's taxonomy places the organism in Eukaryota, Fungi, Basidiomycota, Agaricomycetes, Agaricales, Marasmiaceae. The record is from the annotation of a GenBank genome assembly.
ACACCGUUGGUGAAGUGGUUAUCAUGCUUGCCUUCCAUUUCUGAAACAGAACGGCUCCAGCAAGCGGCUCGGGUUCGAUUCCCGAACGGUGUA